UACGUAGGGUGCAAGCGUUGUCCGGAAUUAUUGGGCGUAAAGAGCGUGUAGGCGGCCCGAUUAGUCCGCUGUGAAAGUCCAGGGCUCAACCCUGGAAUGCCGGUGGAUACUGUCGGGCUAGAGUCCGGAAGGGGCGAGUGGAAUUCCUGGUGUAGCGGUGAAAUGCGCGGAUAUCAGGAGGAACACCAAUGGCGAAGGCAGCUCGCUGGGACGUGACUGACGCUGAGACGCGAAAGCGUGGGGAGCAAACAGG
Molecule: ribosomal RNA, 253 nt
Filed under: uncultured bacterium
Lineage: Bacteria
Description: partial 16S ribosomal RNA
Rfam family: Bacterial small subunit ribosomal RNA
Source: RNAcentral